This is a long non-coding RNA of Trichosurus vulpecula (common brushtail), 702 nucleotides long. RefSeq lists it as uncharacterized. NCBI's taxonomy places the organism in Eukaryota, Metazoa, Chordata, Mammalia, Diprotodontia, Phalangeridae. The transcript has 3 exons. The record is from RefSeq and is a predicted model, not a curated record.
AUCCAGGACCACCAGCAGGGAGCCUGGGAAGUUAGGCGGAGCUCAUCUUACGAAAGGCUUUAAAAAUCAGAGACUCUAUACUUUAAUCAGUGGCCAUCCUUGGCUCUGCAGAAGAGAGGAGAAUAUAAACUUUUGUCCCUUCGGGUGUGAGACCCUGCAUAUGUCAUCAGACUCGGUAUGUCCUACAGGUUGGCCAGAGGACUGCAGCCCAAGGAAUGGUUCACUGGUAGGGAGCCAUAUUAUCAUCUUUUGUUUUUAUAUCGUCUGCAUUUCCAAUGUGAAAAUGAAGCUCCCUCCACAAGGUUCCUGAUCUGCCUGCAGGGCAGAAAAGAAAUGUCAUUUACCAGCUUCCUUCACAGAUCUCCUCACCUAAGCUACCUAAGACCCCAAGAGGUCUCCACCAUGUGACCAAACCCUUAAAGAAAUUGAAAAACUCCCUGAAUUCAUUCCUUAAUGAUGAACAAACUUCUACCCAAUCAUACCCAUCCCAAUGAUUCUGAAAACCUGACUCACUAUUCCGCCGUCUUCCAUCCACAGCUCAUUCUCUUAAUCUUGUUCUUUUCAGCCCAACUCCCCCCAACCAUGUCCCACUCUAAAGCUUUUUACCCCUUACACUGUGGUCUCUGGAAUACCUGCUCCAUAGAGCAAAUUUGCUUUCAUCUUUUAAAAAAUAAUUUUCAUAUUUUUCCCAAUUACAUUUAG